Molecule: ribosomal RNA, 253 nt
Filed under: uncultured bacterium
Lineage: Bacteria
Description: partial 16S ribosomal RNA
Rfam family: Bacterial small subunit ribosomal RNA
Source: RNAcentral
UACGUAGGUGACUAGCGUUGUCCGGAUUUACUGGGCGUAAAGAGCGCGCAGGCGGUCGUUCAAGUCGAGUGUGAAAGCCCCCGGCUCAACUGGGGAGGGUCAUUCGAUACUGAUCGACUCGAAGGCAGGAGAGGGAAGCGGAAUUCCCGGUGUAGUGGUGAAAUGCGUAGAUAUCGGGAGGAACACCAGUGGCGAAGGCGGCUUCCUGGCCUGUUCUUGACGCUGAGGCGCGAAAGCUAGGGGAGCAAACAGG